This 220-nucleotide long non-coding RNA is filed under the name Elaeis guineensis (African oil palm). RNAcentral describes it as "long non-coding RNA (EGUI_LNC022936)". The record is from RNAcentral. Lineage: Eukaryota; Viridiplantae; Streptophyta; Magnoliopsida; Arecales; Arecaceae.
UGUCAUUGUCAAUCAUUGGCCCACUACAUUUGGGCUUUGUUUAGAUGUAGUGGCAGUGGCAUUUUAAUUGGGAAACAGAAUUUGAGCUGUCUCUUAAUUUGCCUUAAUUGUAGAAGUGCUGUGCAAGUUCAACUGGCAAUGCAGCAGAACAAGUCCCAUCAUAGUUUUGCUUGGCUGUUUUGUUAUUGAAGUUAGAGAAAUGGUAAAAUUGGGAGUGGUA